AAGUGGAUAAUAUAAUGGUAUUAUACCUGUUUUGGGAAUAGGAAAUGUGAGUUCGAUUCUCACUCCAUAGU
RNAcentral lists this transfer RNA (71 nucleotides) under Acrasis kona. RNAcentral's name for it is "tRNA-Pro". It matches the Rfam family "tRNA". From Rfam's summary of the family: Transfer RNA (tRNA) molecules are approximately 80 nucleotides in length. Their secondary structure includes four short double-helical elements and three loops (D, anti-codon, and T loops). Lineage: Eukaryota; Heterolobosea; Eutetramitea; Acrasida; Acrasidae. The record is from RNAcentral.